RNAcentral lists this ribosomal RNA (253 nucleotides) under uncultured bacterium. RNAcentral's name for it is "partial 16S ribosomal RNA". It matches the Rfam family "Archaeal small subunit ribosomal RNA", at positions 474 to 727 of the family's 1478-position model. The record is from RNAcentral.
UACCAGCACCCCGAGUGGUCGGGACGAUUAUUGGGCCUAAAGCCUCCGUAGCCGGUUUUACAAGUCCUCCGUUAAAUCCAGCUGCUUAACAGAUGGGCUGCGGAGGAUACUAUAGAGCUAGGAGGCGGGAGAGGCAAGCGGUACUUAGUGGGUAGGGGUAAAAUCCGUUGAUCCAUUGAAGACCACCAGUGGCGAAGGCGGCUUGCCAGAACGCACUCGACGGUGAGGGAUGAAAGCUGGGGGAGCAAACCGG